AUUUCGAGAGUCGAAUUCCAAGUACUCCGAUUCUUGAUCCUCGGGUACUAUCUUUUUACUUUUGCCAGAAUGCUCACCACCUAGACAUAAUGCACAAUAAGCCAUUUACUACAUUUGUGCUUAAUUGUGAUAAAACCAAUUCAGGCUUUAUACUAUGUAUGAAAUGGGAUGCAAAUUGUUCAGAUUAUCGUCUAAACAUGGUGCUCUACACAAAUUCAAUUGUGUACUUAAAUAAAAUGGUAUUGGCCUAAUUCGAUCUAUCACUCAAUUAAUUGACCAGUAUGUCUAAUUUAACUCCAAAUAAUUCCAUUUUUCUUCCAAUCCUCCAAAUCAUCAAAUACAAAUUAAAUAACUUGAAUUAUGGCAAAAUCAUCCUCACAUUUUCUCUUGAAAAAUUCGGCCAUGGUGGGUGCAUCAACACUAUGAUUUUUCCUACUUGAUUCUCACACCAUAAAUCACUAAUUCCUAACCAAAUCACUUGAAAUAAAAUCAAAAUCAUCAUCAAUAUUCCAUAUGGAGAAUUCGGCCAAUGAUGGGUGAUGGAAGAAAAUGAAUUUUUCUUGUUGGCUUUUCAUGCUACACAUCACUAACUAACUAAAAACACUAAAAUACAUUGAAAUCUAACUAAAUCAAGCAUCAAAACCUCUCUCUAAGUGUUCAGCCAGCAAGAUACCCAUCAUGAAAUCAUGUGAUUCAACCAUGGAAAAUGCAAAAGAAUGUAUGGGAAAGGUAGAUCACAAGUCAAAAUCAAGAAAUUUUACCUUUGAUUGCCUGAUUACUUGAAAUCCACCAAUUUUCUCUUGAAUUUUCAGCCUAGGGUUCUUGUUCUUUCUUUUCUUCCUUUGUUCUUGUUUUGGCCGGCCAUAAUAAAGAGAAAUGAGCUGAUUUUGUGCUGAUUUUUAAGCCAAAUAAUAAAUGGAUGAAAAUUUGACACAUGUCACCAUUCCAUUGGUCCAUAUGUCAUACUUACCAAUUAAGCAAUCUCUCUCCACCACUUAAAUUUCCUCAAUUAUCCACGAUAAUAUUGGGUAAAAUCCAUGUGCUGGACAAGUUUUGGGUGGUGUAAAAUUACAAUUUUGCCCCUAGGGUGGCAAAAUGACUAUUUUGCCUUUAUGCUCGGAAAAAUGCUGGAAUUAAAAUUUUUCACUUCUCAAACUCUAAUUAUGUUCUAAAUAGUCAAUCUUGAUCAAAAACUUCUUCCAACAUUCCAAGUUUAACCUCGGGUGACAAAAUGACUAUUUUGCCCCUAGGUCAUGAAAAUUUUAAUUUGACUCCAAAUUGGUCCUUGAACUCCGAAUCACCAUUUUAAGUCAUUCUGGGGUUUUUAAAUUCUCAAUUUCAUCUUAAAAUCUCUAUUUGGACUAGUUCGAGGCUUAAUUCAACUUAAUUGUACCAUUUGGUAUAAUACCGUCCUUUAACGUUUUUCGAGGUAUCCAAGUAAGCAAACAUGCAUUCUUAUGUAGGAAUGGCAUAAUAAACAUAUUGUCGAGUUAAGCUUGACACACACCCUCCAAUCAUCAUCAGCUCAUAUGCAACUGCUUAUGCGCACUCCUACUCGCACAUAGCCGAGUCAACAACGGCUUAUGCGCACUCCCACUCGCACAUAGUCGGGUCAGCAACGGCUGAUGCACACUCCUACUCGCACAUAGCCGGGUCAAUAUCAUUACACAACAUUAUUCGUAUAUAUAUAUAUAUCAACAUAAUGUAGUAGUACAACAAUUCAUAACAGCCACAUGUCAUAUAUAGAAACAAUUUAUCAAAGGCUUGUUCCCAAGGCACCAGUUUUGAAGAUAAAACAAAUAAAACACUUUAGGGAUUCAAUCAAACAUACUUGUAUACACAUCCCAAAACCUUUUUAAUGCAAGUUCACUCACCGGGAUUGUUGAACCUUUAAUCGACUCUAACUUCGAUUAUUACUUCAAACGGACAUGUGAGGCCUUGUUGGAACCUAUCACCCACACUAUAACUAUAAAAAAUAUAACAACCCAUAAAUCAAAUUUCUAGCCAUCUCUAACACCUUAAAAUCAAAUUCUAACUCAUUUCUCACCGUGGUGGAUUUUUUUUUCUGUAGUUGAAUUCCUUUUCAAAAGCAUCCAAGCUACUAUGGCAAGUCUCUCUUUCUCUCUCUAAAACUUCCAACUAGUGAGAGAAAGUGUUGAACAAAGACUUUUUGAGGGUUUUAAGGUGUAAAAGUGGAAGAGCAUGAAAAAUCGUAUGAAACAGUGGGCAAAAGCAUGAAAUUUGGAGCUAGAGAAAGAAAGUUAUGAAGUUUUCAUACCAUGCUUCCAUGGAGGGGGAAACAAAUGUGAGAUGAAAGGAGGAAGAAGAAGAAGCUACUGAAAAUUGAAGAAGCUGCUGGAAGGAGAAGAUAUUUAUAGCUCAAACCUAUCCAAUUCCCUUGGAAAUUACGAAAAUGCCUUUAGCAAGUUAACUUGUUCUUCUCCAAUCCUUUGUGCAAUCUUUUUAUUCUUUUGACACUGGGACAAGGUCCACAAUGAUCUAAACUACUCGGGUUUACAAAAACUUAAAAUUUAGAAUCGAGAUGCAAAAUGACUAUUUUACCCCUUGCCAUGGAAAUUAUCAUUAUUUUUAUUUUCCUCUUUUAUUUACCAUCAUAAACAUCAUUUAUUCAUUCCUUAGGCCUAUUUAGACCUUAAUAGCAUAAAAAAACCCACUUGUAGGAGCCUACCAAGAGAAAUUACAAAAUUACCCCUGGUCUGCAUUAUCUCGUCUACUUCUAGUUACGUGUUUCUAGAUGUCGAGAUUUCAUAGGUUCACUUCUGAAUUACCCUUUUUAACUUAAUAAUCAACCUCAAUUUGCAUCUGUAAACUUUAUUAGCCACCGAAUCAAAAUACAAGGUACUAUAGUCUCCCCCACUUAAAAUGAAUUUGUCCUCGAAUUCAAAUCGACGUAAGGUGAAUAAUCAAAGUUCUAAAGUUCUGCCACAUUACUCUCGUCGGGCAUUCUUAACAUAAAAUCUUGGUUUAUGCAUCAGAUCGACUUCCAAUCUUAUAGAAAACUCGACGAUGUCAUAGUAUAAAGUUAUGUGUACUACUCUUGUUGGAUCAAAACAAUAUCAUUCUUUAUCUUAUGAAGAGAAUUCAAAUAUGCUAUUAACUCUGGUCACACCUUAAUCAAAUCAUCCUUAAAUCAUCAAUCAUGCAUGUUUACUUAACCAUCCGUAACUCCUCUACCUUGCUUCUUUAUCAACCCUCCCAAUAUUCAAGCAUCUAUUCCACCAUUGACUAUGGGUCUAAUUUGUCAAUCAAUCUCUAUUCCGUUUUACAUAACUCCAUAGAAAUUCCAUUCAAGCAUUUCAUAAUACAUAAGGAUCAAACACUCUUUAUUUAUUCAUAUAUAUUUAGCAUCAUGGAUGAUUCAAAUCCGAUAACCAUUAGUCAUCAUAUUUCUAAAAACAAACUCCAAUACUUUCAUGAUCGAGUGCUCACUAGAUAAAUCUUAACUUAUACCAUGAAGCUUUUCAAUAAGUCAUGACAUUCACAUACCUCCUAUGAUCUUAGCCAAUCCCUUUAAUCAAUAACUCAACUUCUCAAAGUUAAAGUUGCUCAAAAUUUUCCUUUAAGGUUCUUUUUUAAGUCUCAUCUUGAUUACUGAUCAUUUUUAUAUUUCCAAUGUCAUAGCUAAUUUAUUCAUCAUCAAUCACAUACAACAUAUCUAACUUGAAAUUCCUCAAAUUUACUUCAAAUGCCAAAUCUCACGGCCUCAUUAGUUCAUCCAUCCGAGGAUGAAAUUAGAUACUUGUCUCUCCUUAAGUGUACUUUAAAAUCAAAGAAUCAUCUAUUAAGACCUUUUUUUAAUAUGAACUCCCUUAGCCUUUUUACCUUAGAAAAUUAAAUCUAUAAUCAUUCAUUCUCAAUCAUGGGCUUUAUGCCCAACAAGGCAGAUUUUAAACUUUUAAUUACAUGAAUUCAAAUGCACACCUUUACUCACAAGCUAUAAAUUUUUCCCAAAUCUUUAUAUAUCAAAAUUAUAUAUUGAAGCUAUACCAAAAUUGAUACAUCAUUUCCAUUGCUCUUUAGGUUGUUAAAUUCAUGUCAUACUUCUCUAUUUGUGUACUUCAUAAUAACCUAACAAUUUCUAACUCACAGUUAAGCUAGUUCAUAUGCCAAGCCUCUCAGGCUAUAUCAAAACACCUAGUUUUAUCACGAUAUAAUAGAAUUUAAUGAACUCAUACCUAAAGUAUAAACACUUACUUUUAAGCUAACAACAUUAUAAUCCACUUGUUCACUGCAAAAUUAGCGAUAAAUUGUCUUAAUCAUUGUCUAGCACUAUAACCAUGGAUAGAAUAUCAUCAUCGAAUCAAAUUAUAACUAACUCCAACAUGAGCUUUUAUACCAAUAUCCAACAUUUAUAUCCAUACAUAUAUAUUUCCAAAAAUUUUAACUUCGAAUAGCCUUAGGCAUAUCAAGGCCAAUAAGCCGUCUAUAAAAUCAAAAUAACUAACAAUCAAGUUUAGAAGCAUUUUUUUUCUCUUGGUUGGUUAGAUCAUGCUCCUUAUUUGUGGUGAAUACACAAAGCUGAUUCAAGUAUUCCAUUCUCAUACAAGAGUUAACCACUAAUUGGCACUAUCUUCAAACACCACAUGGUUUAUAAGUCGAUUUUCUUAGUCAAAAUUUAUAUUGUAGUAUUCCAUCUCUAGGUCAUGUUUCAUUACCAAAUCUUUACUCGUAUACGAGUACUUGAAUUCUCAAAUCAUCAUCUCUUUUCUAAGUAGAUUUCUACAAUUUUCGUAGUGCAUUUUUAUUCCCUUAUCAAGGGCAAUAUCAUUUAAUCAAACCAUGUCACCCUCCUUUUCUAAACAUUUGAGCAUAAUUUAACCUUCCACUAUCCCUAUCAGGAACUUUACCUUGAUAGUUACUCAAAAUAAAUUGGAACUUGUGGGAAAGCAAAUUUCAUAAUUUAUGCUUUGCGUCUAUAAUUAUGUCGAGACCAGAACCUCAUCGGGUCCACAAAACGGUAGGAUAAUCAUUACCUCAAACCAGUAUUCCCAAGUACACUUAUGCUUGUAUCAUAUCUUCAUACUUAUGUGACAUGUCAGUCACGAGCCCAACUUGACUGUAUAGCCAUUUGCUCUUUAAGCUUUAAUGUUUGCUCAUUGUGAAAAGUCUUUCGAAUUUAUCUCAUCAGGGUAUUCAUAAGGUGGAUACACGUCCAUAUUUUACAGUUCAAGGCCUAAAGCAUUGAACACAACCUUAUCAUUGAUGUUAUACGCUAUAUUAUAUAAUACAAAAUAUAAUCUAAUAACAAUGACAAUGAAAUUCUAAAGUUCCACCUUUAUCUACCAAUCAUAGCUCCCUUUAUGAGCACGUACUUUACACUGCUUGAUUGUUCACAAGCUACUCAUGGCCAUCCAAAUUCGACCUCUUAUAGCAAGUCAAGUUAAUAUAUUCUCUUAUGCUUUUCCAUACAUUUCCAAAACACUUAAACACUUUCUUUAAUAGGGUUCAUUGAGAACUUAAUCAAUCAAAGGCUUAUCUUCAAAGCCAUUCAUAACUUUAAUCGUUCAUUGUAUGCCCGAUAACACUUUAGCUCACUGACCCCACUGGACAUUAUUUUAAAAUCUCCCAAAGUGUUCGUGUUUUUAGUUCGGAUCAUACCAUUUAACUUAGUAUAAUUACAUUAAUUAUCCUUAAGCUCUUUUUGCUCAGCAUAUCAACAUUCAUAUUUCCCCCUCAUUCAUGUUAUUGACCUUGUUAAGGUAUAUGUGGCUUUUCAACCUUUCAAAACACAUUUCACAUUUAUGCCAGGGCAUUCUCAAUCUCAUGCCAAGCCUAUAGGCAUGUAACCGUAAAUCAGGGUAAACUCCACUAUGGGAUAUCUCCUUCCAUAUGAUGCAUGGGGAUCACAAGAUGUACAAUUCCAAGUGUAUGCCUACAUAUUGAUAACCUCCAUAUAUUUUAUGAUCAUGGAAACCACAAUUUGCAAAACUAGCUUUCUAUCACAAGUUUACGAUCGGAACAUUAGUCUCCAUAUAUCUCACUUUGGACAUACUUCACUACUAACAUUCAUAUACCUUUACCACAACAUUUAGUACAAAUUGAUUAAACAAUGAUCUCCAAAUUUACUCUUAGGUACACAUAUAUCAAAUUAUACACCACUUAGUGUUAAGAUCUUGACUUUACUCAUCAAUUCUUAACCAAUUACAUUCAUAAGAUAAAUAAUUCACUAAAUUUUUGUAUCUUGCUUUUGCAAUCAUAAGAUCAAAAUUUCUUAAGCUUAGGAUGCAAAAGCUUCCUCAUAGAGCAUAUAUGAAAAUCCACAUGUUUUAAGUCCCUUACCUUUGGAGAAGUCACAUUCAAGACUAAUCAUUUACAUCAUAGGUUCCAUAUUGAACCAAACAUAUUUUUAAAUUGACCUUUAAAGUAAUUUAUAUAUCGAUCUUCAUAUAGAACUCCAUAUGGCACUUAGACUAAAUUUGUCAUUUCCAUGUCAUUUAAUUUCAAAUUGCUAAAUCCACAUCUAGUCCUUUAAUCCUUUGGCUCCACACUAAGGAUAGCAAAAUUCAAGCUCAUCCUUAGAGUAGAUCAUUUACUAGCCUUUUACUUCAUGACCAUACGUCAAUUAUAAUAAUCAGCGAUUUUCACCCUUGAGCUAAUUCAUGCAAUUAUAACCAUAAACCACAAUAAUUAAAUUCAAGCCUUGGAAUCUCGUAAUUAAUUAAUUAGAAUCAAAACCAACUCCAUCUAGGCUACUACACAUAUAUUCAGCACAUAUCCGCAUAUAAAAUAUUUUGGAAGUUCGACACCAUUUAUAUAAGGGCAGGGCAAGCUUAAUCAACACAGUGCACUUGCCUCCAUGCACGUGGGAAUCAGUUUACACCUCCCUUAAUACUUAGAUGUACAAGCUUUAAGUGAAUCUCAAUGAUCAUUAUUCGUUCCGUUCAAAGUAUGUCCCUUAUUACCAUUAUUGCACGUGCUCUUUUUAUAUUGACCUCAAAUACCAUCCAUGGUCAUCAAAUUUCUUCCCAUUGACAAUUAUGGGCUUAAGUUAUAACUCCACUGAAUGAAUAAGUUAUUAUGGACCUAUUAGUCCAGCUCCAAUUUCCUCCAUUUUUAAUCGGAGGAAUUUGUUAUUACAUUAGCCUUUCAUUAGGAGCAUUUGCUUAAAAUCUUUCCAACAACAGCUCGUGUCUCGGGUGGCACCUCAAACCCAAACAACAGUACCACUUAUGACCUUUUCAUAAUGUUAGCAAGAUGGUAGGUUACUAGAAAUAGGAGUUUAUAUAGCCUCCUGUUUAUGAAUUGUGCUGCAGUCACAAACCAUAAACAAGACUCUACAUUAACUCUGACAACUCCGCUGACUGACACAAGAAUCCCUAAGACUCGACUAAACCUAGAGCUUUAAUACCACCUUUGUCACAACCCAAAUACCGAGCCAUGAGCGAUGCAUGAGCCCAAUGGGCAUAGCCCACUAAGCCCAAGCAAGCCUAUUUAUGCAAUUUCAAUUAUCAUUCCCAUCCAUAAUCUUUAAACUGAAGUGCUGUAACUCUCAAAAGUAAAUGUUCCAGUAAUAUUUUAUAACAACUGAAUAUUCGUAUUUAUAUUAUAACAAAGUAUUGUCAUCAUCAAUCCAACAUAUACAUAUUUCAUUUAUAACAUGACUCUUAGUCGUUUACAUUACAUAUAUGUCACGACUCGGUACUCCCCGCGAGUCCGUGACAACCGUCGAGAUGUCCCGAUAGACAUUCAUCGACCGUAAUGCCGACCGAAACCUCGAAAGGCUUUUAUAUCAGUUUUUCUCACCUCCCCUGUGAGCGAUAGUUAUUAAAUAUCAUGUUUUGAGAGAUUAUAAACUAUUUCCAAAUCAAAUAAUAGAAAAAUAAUUUUUAUCUCACAAGGGCAUUUUGGUCAUUUUUCCUCGAAAGUCUCGAAACUAGCCAAAAAUGUAGUAUGCAAAUGAAAAACACAUAUUUCAUAAUCAAAAAUAAGUUUAGAUAUCUAAAACAUUCAUUUAAAGUAAAAUUAUAACUAUUUGAAUAUAAUAAAAAUAUUCAAAUAAAUAUUCUAUUUUCUUAUAAAAUAAUAAUUAUAUAACUCUGCAUAAAUAAUUUUUGUAGCGUAAAAGCUAAAUUAAUUCAUACAUACUGUAAUACAGAUAACCAAAGCAUAAGAUUUAAUUUACGUGACACGUGGGCCCACGAACAACUAAAAGUAAUGAAGGCUAUGAACCUACAGUUUUUUAGGAAGCAAGUCCAACUGUAGCCCUCAACGAAAAGAGCUAUUUACCUACUAUCUUGAGCUUGAAAUGGAUGGAAAGGAGGGUGGUGAGAUUAUAUAAUCCCAGUGAGUAAACAAAUACCAUCUAAAAUAUCUAAAGCUGAGUAAAUGGAGACGGAUUAAAAUAGAUCAUCAUACUGUAAUUUAUCACCUUUCAACUCAUUUCAACCAAAUAAAAUCAAUUCAUAUAAAUCGAGUAAUCAACAUGGCUUAUGAAUUUCUUAAAACUUUGGCUCGUGCCAAAAUCAUUCUCAUACUCAGUUAUCAGGGAUACCUUGGCCGAGGGCUAUCCAAACCGAGUCUGCCAAGGUUGAUAAAAAGUUAUGUACGCAUAAAUCAGGUUUUUAUUUUGAAAACAUAGUCGUUCCUUGGCGUUGGCUGAGUUCACCCUCACGUGGUGGUUUGGCGUGAAGUGAACUCNNNNNNNNNNNNNNNNNNNNNNNNNNNNNNNNNNNNNNNNNNNNNNNNNNNNNNNNNNNNNNNNNNNNNNNNNNNNNNNNNNNNNNNNNNNNNNNNNNNNNNNNNNNNNNNNNNNNNNNNNNNNNNNNNNNNNNNNNNNNNNNNNNNNNNNNNNNNNNNAAACAACAGUUUAUACAUUUUCAACACAAAUACCAAUUCAGCCAUUCAUGCCAAUAUUGCCAUAAGCCAAUCAAUUAGAACCAUAAAUUCACAAUACAUCAAAUGGUCUCCAAUUACUCUAUUUUCAAAGCCAUCAUUCAAUUUCAAGACAAUUUAUAAAAUCAUUUCAUUUAAACACAUUUUGUUUAUAAAAUAUAAAGAUUUACCAUUUAAACUCAUUUUCCAUAAAAUCACAAAAUCAGACAAAAAUCACUUUAGAUAAUUAAGAUGAUAGUAAGGUUACUCACUAUUUCGGGAGUCGAAUUUCGAGUACUCCGAUUCUUGAUCCUCGGGUACUAUCUCUUUACUUUUGCCAGAAUGCUCACCACCUAGACAUAAUGUGCAAUAAGCCAUUUACUACAUUUGUGCUAAAUUGUUACAAAACCAACUCAGGCUCUACACUAAUGCAUGAAAUGGGAUGUAAAUUGUUUGGAUUAUCGUCUAAACACGGUGCUCUACACAAAUUCAAUUGUGUACCUAAAUAAAACGGUAUUGGCCUAAUUCGAUCUGUCACUCGAUUAAUUGGCCAAUAUGUCCAAUUUAACUCCAAAUAAUUCCAUUUUUCUCCCAAUACUCCAAAUCAUCAAACAAAAAUUAAAUAACUUGAAAUAUAGCAAAAUCAUUCUCACAUUUUCUCUUGAAAAAUUCGGCCAUGGUGGGUGCAUCAACACUAUAAUUUUUUCUACUUGAUUCUCACACCAUAAAUCACUAAUUCCUAACCAAAUCACUUGAAAUAAAAUCAAAAUCAUCCUUAAUAUUCCACAUGGAGAAUUCGGCCAAUGAUGGGUGAUGGAAGAACAUGAAUUUUUCUUGCUUGAUUUUCAUGCUACACAUCACCAAUCAACUAAAAACACUACAAUAGAUUGAAAUCUAACCAAAUCAAGUAUCAAAACCUCUCUCUAAGUGUUCAGCCAGCAAGAUACCCAUCAUGAAAUCACGUGAUUUAACCAUGGAAAAUGAAAAAGAAUGCAUGGGAAAGGUAGAUCACAAGUCAAAAUCAAGAAAUUUUACCUUUGAUUGGUUGAUUACUUGAAAUCCACCAAAUUUUCUCUUGAAUUUUCACCCUAGGGCUCUUGUUCUUUCUUUUCUUCCUUUGUUCUUGCUUUGGCCAGCCAUAUGAAG
RNAcentral lists this long non-coding RNA (9978 nucleotides) under Theobroma cacao (cacao). RNAcentral's name for it is "long non-coding RNA (TCAC_LNC001159)". The record is from RNAcentral. Lineage: Eukaryota; Viridiplantae; Streptophyta; Magnoliopsida; Malvales; Malvaceae.